Molecule: ribosomal RNA, 418 nt
Filed under: Camaenidae sp. WT12
Lineage: Eukaryota; Metazoa; Mollusca; Gastropoda; Stylommatophora; Camaenidae
Description: partial 16S ribosomal RNA
Rfam family: Bacterial large subunit ribosomal RNA
Source: RNAcentral
CAAAAACAUAGCCAUAAGAGGUGACUUAUGGUAACUUCUGCUCACUGAUAAUUAAAUAGCCGCAGUACCUUGACUGUGCAAAGGUAGCGCAAUCAAUUGGCCUUUAAUUGAGGUCCAGAAUGAAAGAAUCUAUAAAAAGGUAACUGUAUCCGCUGUAGAUUUGAAGUUACUUAGUAAGUGCAAAUUCUUACAAAAUUAUAAUAGACGAGAAGACCCUUGAAAUUUUUAAUACACAUGUAUAUAAUCUUUUUGUUGGGGCAACAAGGUAACAUAUAAUUUACCUACGUACACGAAAGAUGUAUCUGGUUAGAAUAAAUUACUCUAGGGAUAACAGCAUAAUUUAUUUUGAGUUUAUGACCUCGAUGUUGGACUAGGGAAAUAAGGUUUAGAAGAUUAUUAUUAAUGCUCUGUUCGAGCA